This is a non-coding RNA of Manis javanica (Malayan pangolin), 505 nucleotides long. Lineage: Eukaryota; Metazoa; Chordata; Mammalia; Pholidota; Manidae. The record is from RefSeq and is a predicted model, not a curated record.
UAUUUAUUCCCCAAACUCAGUCUUCCCUGUCUGAGGGAUAGAACAUGUUCCGGUGAGUUCCCUGCAUGAAGCAGCAGAGAACCUGAGUUUGCAGAAAGUAGGCUGCUCCAGAAGAGAACUUUCCCAUUCUCAUUAUUCCAGUUAGUCCGUCUUCCUCUGCUGGAGGGCACUGCGUGAAGGGUGGAGGGGCUGCAUGUGUCUGCCCACCCCUCUCCUCUUCUCCAUGACAAGCAGGGACUUCUUGAGCAUCCAAGCUUCGUGUCUGUCCUGAGGUCAGAGAAGGUGUGAGCAGUCAAGAUGAUGAAGAAGUGCCCAGAGCGAAACUUCCUGCUCGUUGGAAGUAGAGCAGGAUGGCUCUGAUGAGGAAGAAGCAGUUUAGAAUCCUCUGCAGCCUGUGAUAGGGGAGGACCAGUGUUGUAACUAACAGCUAGUCUGUACUGGGAACGGAUACAGGGUCAUUACCGAAACAUCUGAAGAGGAGCUGGAGCUGAGAGUCAGAACCCGC